UUUGUUAUAAAAUAGUUAAUACUUAACUAUGAAUUACAGUGCUACUCUGCCCACCCUAAAUGAAGAUAAAAUUUCAAACUAUUUUGAUUUAUGCCUAUGCUAGGAUGAGUAUUCAAUUUCUUUUUAGCACCUAUUGCAUAGCACUAUUAGGCGCAUUAUAGACUAUUAAAGACAUUAAUUAAAAAAAAGGAACUCGGCAAAUUGUGUUGCUUCGCCUGUUUAUCAAAAACAUGGUUCCUCGCCUUAAUAAAAUGAGGAAUCAGGCCUGCCCAGUGAGAUUUUAACGGCCGCGGUACUCUGACCGUGCAAAGGUAGCAUAAUCAUUUGCCUUAUAAUUGAAGGCUAGUAUGAAUGGUUGAACGUGAGCAACGCUGUCUACUUUUUAUUUUCUAAAAAUUAACUUUUAAGUGAAGAGGCUUAAAUUUAAUUAAAGGACAAGAAGACCCUGUCGAGCUUAAAAAGCAAGAAGAAGUUUAAUAUUAACAAAAUUUUUCUCUUCUAGUAUUUUUUAGUUGGGGCGACUAAGGAACAAAUAAAGCUUCUUUCAUUAUAGAUAGCUAAUUAGCCAAGAUCCAGCUAUGCUGAGCAAGAAAAUUAGUUACCGCAGGGAUAACAGCAUAAUCUCUCUUGAGAGACCAAAUCGAAAGAGGGGGUUGUGACCUCGAUGUUGGACUAGAAUAUCCUAAAGAUGCAGACGUCUUUGAAGGUUGGUCUGU
Molecule: ribosomal RNA, 716 nt
Filed under: Lavigeria arenarum
Lineage: Eukaryota; Metazoa; Mollusca; Gastropoda; Thiaridae
Description: partial 16S ribosomal RNA
Rfam family: Bacterial large subunit ribosomal RNA
Source: RNAcentral